RNAcentral lists this ribosomal RNA (497 nucleotides) under uncultured bacterium. RNAcentral's name for it is "partial 16S ribosomal RNA". It matches the Rfam family "Bacterial small subunit ribosomal RNA", at positions 28 to 507 of the family's 1533-position model. The record is from RNAcentral.
GAUGAACGCUGGCGGCGUGCCUAAUACAUGCAAGUCGAGCGAACAGACGAGGAGCUUGCUCCUCUGACGUUAGCGGAGGACGGGUGAGUAACACGUGGAUACCCUACCUAUAAGACUGGGAUAACUACGGGAAACCGGAGCUAAUACCGGAUAAUAUAUUGAACCGCAUGGGUCAAUAGUGAAAGACGGUGUUGCUGUCACUUAUAGCUGCAUCCGCGCCGGAUGAGCUAGUUGGUAAGGUAACGGCUUACCACGGCAACGAUGCGUAGCCGACCUGAGAGGGGGAUCGGCGACACUGGAGCUGAGACACGGUCCAGGCUCCUACGGGAGGCAGCAGUAGGGUAUCGUCCGCAGUGGUCGGGAGCCUGGCGGAGCAACGGCGCGUGAGUGAUGGAGGUGUUCGGAGCGUAAAACUCUGUUACUAGGGAAGAACAAAUGUGUAAGUAACUAUGCACGGCUUGACGGUACCUAAUCAGAAAGCAACGGCUAACUACGUG